Long non-coding RNA from Brassica oleracea var. oleracea, 229 nucleotides. RefSeq lists it as uncharacterized. NCBI's taxonomy places the organism in Eukaryota, Viridiplantae, Streptophyta, Magnoliopsida, Brassicales, Brassicaceae. The record is from RefSeq and is a predicted model, not a curated record. The transcript has 3 exons.
AAUCAGUGAGUAUUUUUGUGGUAAAGAGUUGGAGAUUUGGUGUCCUGAAGUUGAGAAUCACCCAUGUUCUUCAGCCUUUGAUUUUGAUCGGUUAAUUCGUGGUUAGCUUGAAGAGAGACAACCAGUCAAGUUUAAUUAGUUGAGUAAAACCGAUGGCCAAGGAGAGUAUUCGGAUCAGCCGGAUCCUUGUGAUGAUUCUGAACCGAGAGUGAUCCAGAAGUGAAGUGUG